This is a long non-coding RNA of Girardinichthys multiradiatus, 1373 nucleotides long. RefSeq lists it as uncharacterized. The transcript has 2 exons. NCBI's taxonomy places the organism in Eukaryota, Metazoa, Chordata, Actinopteri, Cyprinodontiformes, Goodeidae. The record is from RefSeq and is a predicted model, not a curated record.
ACUUUGCCUGGGAAUUUCUCUACUUUAAAAUUUCAGUCAUUGUUUCUGGUCGUGUGUGUGAUGUGCAUCCCCAUCUAAAAACAGGAAGGAGAUCCAGUCGGGAGGUUGAAUGGAUACCUGUUGGCUUUUUUUUUUUACAAAAUCAGCUCAGAUUAUUAGCAAUCUGCCUGUUUACUGUUGGGAUGUUGAAUCAUCCCUGGAAGCUACAGAGCAGCAACCACAUGGCAGUAGGCCUCAUCUUCUUCUUAUGGUUCUGCUACCCAAAACAUCUAAUGUGCAUUUUGGAUGUUCUCAUUAAAAAUACAAGACUAAAUCCUGUCUGAUCUGAGCGGCAGUAGAACACUUAGUGUUCACAGAGAUGUUAAACCUGCAGUAGUUUAGUUGUCAUAUCCCACAGCAGGACAUGGCUGUGGUGUCACCACAUGCACACAAACCUGCAGUAAUGUCAGGUGGCUCAAUUUAAUUAAAAUUCUGACAGAGGUGUGGAGAAAAAACAACUUCCAGCAAAUGAUGGCGGUAAACACCUCAUACAAGGAAAUGAUUGAUCACAUUUGCACACAUUUCCAUCCUGUGUGUGGACAUGCAUCCAAGAAUGAAGCUAUUUUUAUUUUUGUGUCUUAUUAAAGGCUCUUAUUGGUGCAAAUGUUGCACAUUCUGCUUAUCUAAUUGUUGAAAUAAACUCACUGUCAUGUAUGUCUGGGCUUCACUCAUUGCAAUGCAUUACAGACACCGGAGGGUCUGCACACUUGUUAAAUCAGGUUUCUACAAGAUGUUUAUAAUGUGAAGCUGGAAGAAAAUGAAAUGUGGAAAUAACAACGGAGUCAGUUAAAUACAGUUUGUGUGAAUCAGAAUCUCAGCUCAGUUUGGACUGGUAGUUUUGUGUGGAGCUGGAAGCUUAAAACAUACAAACUCAUGAGGUUUUCUCUGCAAGUGAGUAAAGGAAAUUGUUCUAGAUAGGCGCUUUCAAAGUCAAUUUUCAGCAAGGUUUAGGAAAAGAUAAAAGACUGGCUUUUUGUUCUGCUCUGAUUAAUUCUAGGAUGACUUUAAAAUGAAUGCAUUAGGAUAUUAGCUGCCUACUUAAGGGAGCUCAUUGUCUCAUAAGUCAAUGAUUAUUGACUUAAAAUGCAGCAGCCAUGUUGGAUUUUGAGAUCAGCUCAACCUGCAACUUUUCGUCUAGGAAAAAACAUCAAAGUAUUACUGUUUUAAAAAUGUUUGCCGGUAAGCUGGAUCCUCCAAGUCUUGGCUUUUACAGUCUACUUGUUAUAAGAAAACAAGAACCACUGGUCUGGAAUUUGCCUUAACACUACAAGGCCCAAAGCCCAACCAUUUGGCUGUAGUAGUGAGAGCUGCUGUAAUAAACUUAUUUGAACUUC